UGUGGGAGCGAGCUUGCUCGCGAUAGCGGUCUGUCUGGCACAUCAAUGUUGAAUGUGCUGCAGCUAUCGCGAGCAAGCUCGCUCCCACA
This 89-nucleotide unclassified non-coding RNA is filed under the name Pseudomonas thivervalensis. The record is from RNAcentral. Lineage: Bacteria; Pseudomonadati; Pseudomonadota; Gammaproteobacteria; Pseudomonadales; Pseudomonadaceae.